RNAcentral lists this long non-coding RNA (1422 nucleotides) under Salmo salar (Atlantic salmon). RNAcentral describes it as "lncRNA (ENSSSAG00000106516.1)". The record is from RNAcentral. Lineage: Eukaryota; Metazoa; Chordata; Actinopteri; Salmoniformes; Salmonidae.
UUCAUUUAAAUUACUUUUAUUUAUUAAGUUUACAAAUAAAGUAACAAAUAUAUUUUAUUGGAGCGCAAAGCGCAGUUUUAUUUGAAGCUUGAACAGCCUCUACUUAAUGCAGAACAGUUAACCGCUGCCAAUGAUUCCUAACAGGUUGCGCUUGGUUUUCCAUUUUAGUAUUAUUCUAAAACAUUCUGUACAAUGUUAAACAGCAUGAGGAAAAACCAAUUCAUUAAGUCACUAGAUGUUUCUUGAGACAUAAAAUUGCAAAACAAAAAAUGUCUGAUAAGUAGUACAAAACAAAAUACUUUAAAUCACCUUGAAUUGUUUUGUUUUUGUGAGGGUGGCUGUGUACACGUUUUGAGUUGUUUUGUGGUAAUAACUUUACAGUAUAAUAAGCGGUGAUGAAAAGGUAACAUGCCAGAUGUUAUCUAGAGAAACAAGCUCUUUAUUCAACCACUUCUGUGUCAGUCAGACGAAUGGUGAAUUGAAUGACAUUCCAACAUUUUAUGUGCACUUUGCAGGACAUAAAUCAGUUACAAGAAGGCAAAGGAGGAGUUGUAUUGUAACAGUAACAAGGAAAAGAACAGGAGAAGUAGCAGAAUCGAUCGGUAUUCUGAAUGCUAAAAUUAAUAUUAUUACACUUUGUAAAAUCUGUAACUUCCCUCCUCUCAAACUAUGUAAAUGUAGCUCUGGUCCAGGGCGUGGUUCGGCUACUCUCUCACGACAAUGAUCCUUUGGAGCACAGAGCUGGACCAGAGCUAGUGUAAAUGUGUUCAUCAGAGGAGGUCUUCAGUUUCACCACUGUAACCUCACCAUAACCUGUUCACCACUGUAACCUCACCAUAACCUGUUCACCAUUGCAUGUUAUGCAUUGCAGCCACUGUAUCAUACAGUAUGACACUUAGUUAAGAGGAAGUAAACAUUGUAAAUAUUGCUCAGUAUUCUUUAGAGUGAGCAGAUGUUCAUGUAGCUAAAGUCAUUACUGCAUGGUAAUGGCACUGAGGGCCUCCGGUAAGUACGAAAAGUUCAAUCCACAAAACAGGCAAAAGCAACGUUUUACAAAGGACCCCCCAACUGUUUUUAAGGGUUUUAAAUGGUUGAGAAUCUACCAUAUCUUUUCAAGUGAUUUCCCGUAGCGGACAUGUUUACAGUGAGUAGAGACUGAAGCGGUAAGCAGAAGGCGAUAGAUCUAGCAGUCCUUGUAAGCUAAUCAGUAGUUAAGGUGACGAGUGUUUAUUAGAAAUAACUUUUCUACGGUAUUCACUUUUAAACAUGUUUGACCCCAGGUAAUGGUUUGUACAGCUGCUUUGAGAAGGAUGUGGGGCUUAAUGAACUAUUCUGGUGUCCACAGAUUGGACCAGUUUUACUGUCUACAACACUGUCAGGUAACCAGAAAGAAACACUGUUCAUCAUUACAACAUUUUGUAA